RNAcentral lists this ribosomal RNA (429 nucleotides) under Verrucomicrobiota bacterium. RNAcentral's name for it is "Verrucomicrobia bacterium partial 16S ribosomal RNA". It matches the Rfam family "Bacterial small subunit ribosomal RNA", at positions 355 to 776 of the family's 1533-position model. Lineage: Bacteria; Pseudomonadati; Verrucomicrobiota. The record is from RNAcentral.
UAGGGAAUCUUCCGCAAUGGACGAAAGUCUGACGGAGCAACGCCGCGUGAGUGAAGAAGGAUUUCGGUUCGUAAAACUCUGUUGUUAGGGAGGAAAAAAUGUAUAGUAACUAUAUACAAAAGAGACGGUACCUAACCAGAAAGCCACGGCUAACUACGUGCCAGCAGCCGCGGUAAUACGUAGGUGGCAAGCGUUGUCCGGAAUUAUUGGGCGUAAAGCGCGCGCAGGUGGUUUAGAAAGUCUGAUGUGAAAGCCCACGGCUCAACCGUGGAGGGUCAUUGGAAACUAAUAAACUUGAGUGCAGGAGAGAAAAGUGGAAUUCCUAGUGUAGCGGUGAAAUGCGUAGAGAUUAGGAGGAACACCGGUGGCGAAAGCGGCUUUUUGGCCUGCAACUGACACUGAGGCGCGAAAGCGUGGGGAGCAAACAGG